Non-coding RNA from Echria macrotheca, 85 nucleotides. NCBI's taxonomy places the organism in Eukaryota, Fungi, Ascomycota, Sordariomycetes, Sordariales, Schizotheciaceae. The record is from the annotation of a GenBank genome assembly.
GGUUGUAUAGUGUAGUGGCUAUCACAUCAGAUUCUGAUCCAAGCAGAAGUUUCUGAUAACCCCGGUUCGAUCCCGGGUACGACCU